UAAAAUAAACAGAUAAUUUUGAAAAUGUGCUAUUUUGAUCCUUAAAAUAAUUUUGAACGAACAUUAUUGCUAUUAGUGGGACACACUUCGGAAUUUCUCUUUUUUUUAUUAAAAGUAAAACUCUGCCUGAUUAAAAAAAUUCUCGAAAUAAUUUUAUUUCUGCUAUCUUUCAUUUGACAGAUCUCAUAGGAGGAAUAUUGAGUGGUGCUAACACAUUCAUUACUGGCGCUGGCAGUUUCUUUGGAAAUAUUGGAACCAAUGCUCUUGGUGCCGUUACAAGUGGUGUCAGCGAUGCUAUUCAUGGUAGACGAGGGAAGCACGGAGUCGUUCACAGCAAGCAUGGUCGUAACUAAAAAAAUCAGAGUUCAAUAAGAAAUGGUUUUGUAACAGGCGAUGGAAUUUUCUGAAAGCAAGACUAUUAAAUAAUACCUUAUUAAAUAUGAAUAAACUUUUAAUAUUUGAACGAG
Long non-coding RNA from Parasteatoda tepidariorum (common house spider), 467 nucleotides. RefSeq lists it as uncharacterized. The record is from RefSeq and is a predicted model, not a curated record. NCBI's taxonomy places the organism in Eukaryota, Metazoa, Arthropoda, Arachnida, Araneae, Theridiidae.